Molecule: ribosomal RNA, 369 nt
Filed under: uncultured organism
Description: bacterial SSU rRNA
Rfam family: Bacterial small subunit ribosomal RNA
Source: RNAcentral
CGUGGGGUGCAAGCGUUAUCCGGAUUUAUUGGGCGUAAAGAGUUCGUAGGCGGUCUAUUAAGUUCUGUUUGAAAUCUCGAGGCUCAACCUCGAAACUGGAUAGAACACUAGUAGGCUCGAGUCUGUUAGGGGGUACUGGAACUCACGGUGUAGCAGUGAAAUGCGUUGAUAUCGUGAGGAACACCAAGGGCGAAGGCAGGUACCUGGGACAUGACUGACGCUGAGGAACGAAAGCUAGGGGAGCGAAAGGGAUUAGAGACCCCUGUAGUCCUAGCCGUAAACUAUGUCCGCUUGAUCUUCCAACCUCUGGUUGGAGGGUCGUAGCUAACGCGUGAAGCGGACCGCCUGGGGAGUACGGCCGCAAGGCUA